ACGGGAGGCAGCAGUGAGGAAUAUUGGUCAAUGGGCGCAAGCCUGAACCAGCCAAGUCGCGUGAAGGAAGACGGCCCUACGGGUUGUAAACUUCUUUUAUACAGGGAUAAAGUCAGUUACGUGUAGCUGUUUGCAUGUACUGUAUGAAUAAGGAUCGGCUAACUCCGUGCCAGCAGCCGCGGUAAUACGGAGGAUCCGAGCGUUAUCCGGAUUUAUUGGGUUUAAAGGGUGCGUAGGCGGGCCCUUAAGUCAGCGGUGAAAUCCUGCGGCUCAACCGUAGGACUGCCGUUGAAACUGGGGGUCUUGAGUGCAAGUGAGGUAAGCGGAAUGUGUAAUGUAGCGGUGAAAUGCAUAGAUAUUACACAGAACACCGAUUGCGAAGGCAGCUUACUGGUAUGUAACUGACGCUGAGGCACGAAAGCGCGGGUAUCGAACAGGAUUAGAUACCCUGGUA
This 454-nucleotide ribosomal RNA is filed under the name uncultured Mangroviflexus sp. Its description in RNAcentral is "partial 16S ribosomal RNA". It matches the Rfam family "Bacterial small subunit ribosomal RNA", at positions 341 to 792 of the family's 1533-position model. The record is from RNAcentral. Lineage: Bacteria; Pseudomonadati; Bacteroidota; Bacteroidia; Marinilabiliales; Marinilabiliaceae.